UACGUAGGGGGCUAGGCGUUGUCCGGAAUCAUUGGGCGUAAAGAGCGUGUAGGCGGUCCGGUAAGUCCGCUGUGAAAGUCGGGGGGCUCAACCCUCGAAUGCCGGUGGAUACUGUCGGGCUAGAGUGCGGAAGAGGCGAGUGGAAUUCCUGGUGUAGCGGUGAAAUGCGCAGAUAUCAGGAGGAACACCAAUUGCGAAGGCAGCUCGCUGGGACGUAACUGACGCUGAGACGCGAAAAGCGUGGGGGAGCAAACAGG
RNAcentral lists this ribosomal RNA (257 nucleotides) under uncultured bacterium. RNAcentral's name for it is "partial 16S ribosomal RNA". It matches the Rfam family "Bacterial small subunit ribosomal RNA", at positions 524 to 776 of the family's 1533-position model. The record is from RNAcentral.